UGGGGAAUAUUGCACAAUGGGCGCAAGCCUGAUGCAGCAACGCCGCGUGAGGGAUGACGGCCUUCGGGUUGUAAACCUCUUUUAGCAGGGAAGAAGCGAAAGUGACGGUACCUGCAGAAAAAGCACCGGCUAACUACGUGCCAGCAGCCGCGGUAAUACGUAGGGUGCAAGCGUUGUCCGGAAUUAUUGGGCGUAAAGAGCUCGUAGGCGGUCUGUCGCGUCUGCUGUGAAAUCCCGAGGCUCAACCUCGGGCCUGCAGUGGGUACGGGCAGACUAGAGUGCGGUAGGGGAGAAUGGAACUCCUGGUGUAGCGGUGGAAUGCGCAGAUAUCAGGAAGAACACCGAUGGCGAAGGCAGUUCUCUGGGCCGUAACUGACGCUGAGGAGCGAAAGCGUGGGGAGCGAACAGGAUUAGAUACCCUGGUAGUCCACGCCGUAAACGUUGGGCGCUAGAUGUGGGGACCAUUCCACGGUUUCCGUGUCGCAGCUAACGCAUUAAGCGCCCCGCCUGGGGAGUACGGCCGCAAGGC
This 529-nucleotide ribosomal RNA is filed under the name uncultured bacterium. Its description in RNAcentral is "partial 16S ribosomal RNA". It matches the Rfam family "Bacterial small subunit ribosomal RNA", at positions 355 to 894 of the family's 1533-position model. The record is from RNAcentral.